This 435-nucleotide ribosomal RNA is filed under the name Triticum aestivum (bread wheat). RNAcentral's name for it is "partial small subunit ribosomal RNA". The record is from RNAcentral. Lineage: Eukaryota; Viridiplantae; Streptophyta; Magnoliopsida; Poales; Poaceae.
AUGACUAGGGAUAACCUUAGGAAGAGACACAUCAUCAAACCCCUUGAUUGUGUUUACUGCUUGGAACAAGAGUCUUGUUCUCACCUAUUUGAAUGUAUAGUUGCUAAACAUCUCUGGGCCCACAUUGAGGAAUAUUUCUCUAGUCAGAUUGGCUCAUCCUUCGAAUCUGUCGCUAGAUUCUGGAUUGCUACCAAAAAGUGCUUAGUUUUAAACACUGUUAGCUCAACUGUCCUUUGGUGCCUCUGGAAAUAUAGAAAUGCUAUGAUUUUCAGUAACACCUCCUGGAUUUCCAUUCCGCAGGUCUUGAGGUUGAUCAGGAACAUGGUGAGGAACUGGGCGAUUCUCUCCUCCGGAUCGGACAAGGACAAGUUGAUGAGCUUCAUGGAAACCCUAACAAGAUCCCUCCAGAAACCGUUGGCGAUCACUUGUGGCUGA